Molecule: small nuclear RNA, 311 nt
Filed under: Sorex araneus (European shrew)
Lineage: Eukaryota; Metazoa; Chordata; Mammalia; Eulipotyphla; Soricidae
Description: 7SK RNA (ENSSARG00000018030.1)
Rfam family: 7SK RNA
About the family: 7SK was discovered as an abundant small nuclear RNA in the mid-70s but a possible function has only recently been suggested.
Source: RNAcentral
GGAUGUAAUGGCGAUCAGACUGUGAUAUCUGUCACCCCAUUUAUCUUCAAGUUUGAUUUGGCUGAUCUGGCUGGCUAGGUGGGUGUCCCCUUCCUGCCUCAGCGCUCCAUGUGUGUCCCCCCCCGAAACUGUGUCAUCAGUCGAAGAGGACUUCCUUCCUCGAGUAGACACGGACCAGUGCUCCGACGAUAUACGAGUAGUUGCGCUCCCCUGCUAGAAUCUCCAAACAAGCUCCCGUGGAUUAACUUGUAGGUAGAAAUAACUUGAACGGAAUAUUGAGAAACAUAGGCAUAAAUGAUUGUAAUUACUAU